RNAcentral lists this unclassified non-coding RNA (1216 nucleotides) under Hevea brasiliensis (rubber tree). The record is from RNAcentral. Lineage: Eukaryota; Viridiplantae; Streptophyta; Magnoliopsida; Malpighiales; Euphorbiaceae.
AAUAAUAAUACAGUUUGUUCCAGGUAUGGCUUUCAUAAUUCACGUUACUUCUUUGCCAUUUUUUUUUUGGUCUUUUUUCUUUCAAGAAUUAAGGUUGAAUUGUUUGCUUCUCUUAUGGGAAUGUUUCACCAGUUCUGCUCUUUGUUUUUUCACUUUUUCUGUUCUUGUUCUUUUGGAUACUUUUCUUGGGAUCUUCUCCUUCUGUUGAUAAACUCAAAUUUGCGGGACAAUUUCGGACAGAGAAGAACUUGUAUAACCCACAACCUUUCCAAUACUGUUAACAAUGAGAAUAAGCGCCAUUUUUUUAUUAUCAUUUACUCUUAUCUAAUAAAGAAAACAAAUUGGGUUUUUGCUGAAAUUGGAAUUAAAAUCUAAAAAAGGUUGGAAAUUGCCUGUUGAAGAUAUUAACAUAUGCUUUUCUUGCGACCCUUUAGUUCAUGGUUUAACAACCUUGUCUCAGUCUAUAGAAUUUCACUUGAUUUCGGGGACUAUGCACAAUUUUAAGCUGGUGAACUUUUUUUUUUCUGAGAAGUCAAGCUUGUUAACCUAUUUGAGCUAUGGUUCUAUGAAAAUUUCAAAUAUAGUUCUAAUGAUGCCAAACUCAGAUCAAGGAUUUAGAUAUAUCAUUUUAGUGUUGUACUGGUACUGAUGGGAUUUUGUGUGUGUAAUUUUUCUUCUCAUUCCUUGUUCUAUAAAACAUUUAUUGUUCAAGAAACACAAAAUUGACUUCAGGAGAGUUUUCUGGAUAUAAAUCUCUUGCAUCUGCAUAUGUGUUCCAUGUGCUCUGACACUUUUGUCCAUUAUAUGUGUAUUGUAUGAAAUGUUCUUAUGGCCAAACAACCUUAUGCAUCCAUUUUCUUUUAUUUCAUGGUCUACUUGACUGGGUACUUUUCAUUGUUUAUUUAAUUUAGAUAAACAAGUCUAAGAAUUCUCUCCUUUUUUAUUACCAGAAGGCUAACAACACGAUCUUUGGGAGAUUUAGUAUACAACACAUUCUUUUACGCUGACCUUAGUGAAUUGAGAACAGUUGAAGAGCUGUAAACGAAUUUUGCUUCAUUAAGUAGGUUGAGAUCUUGUAAUGCUCAUUGCACAUACUUGAAAGGAAGACAUAUGAUGGUCACUGCAGCAGUUGUCGGACUUAGUGCAGGAAAGAAGUUCUUGAGUUCUACCUUUUAUUAUUCUGACCUUACAGAAAAGCUUUUCAAUGUCAAUGAUA